Etheostoma spectabile (orangethroat darter) is the source of this 887-nucleotide long non-coding RNA. RefSeq lists it as uncharacterized. Lineage: Eukaryota; Metazoa; Chordata; Actinopteri; Perciformes; Percidae. The record is from RefSeq and is a predicted model, not a curated record. The transcript is spliced from 2 exons.
GUACAGUUGCUUUAUCUCCAUCUUGUCUGAUAUUCUGGUCAAAAAGAUUAUGUAUACCAUUUGUUCAAGGGAUUAUCCAUAAUUGGUAGUAAGGAGAAGCAUAGAUGUAACUAAUAAAUUUAUCUUCACUUUGUACCUUAAGUUUGCCAGUAAGUAUAGGACCCUUGUAUACUAGAAUGCAAUGCUACCAUUGGUUUCUGAUUACACUUGUGUUCAACAAGUGAAAUGCUUGUUAGAAAAAACCUGUUGCGUUUAUGUUGUCUUAAAUUCUGGCAGCUCGCCAACAUAAUGCUUUGUAUUUUGCUCUUUAUCAGAGUGCUGUUGUGUGUGCGUGUUUAUAUAGUGUGGUUUUUCAGAGGACAGAUGUAUUUAGUUUUGGAGUUGAUGGGUGUUUUCACAACAGACAUUUUGACUUGUCUUAGGAAAAGCACAGCUGAAAUUGAUGACCUUUUAUGAUGGCUCAAUUCCAUAAAGUGUCCCACUAAGCUAUUUCAGUGAGUCAGCAUGCACAAAUACUACAGCUGCUCCUAAGUGGAAUGCAGCCAUCUUUAAUUGUUUUGAAUACACCUUUUCCUACUAUAAAAUGUCAACAUGUCUGCUGUGAAAAAGGUCUAUGCCAGCAUGUUUAAAUUUGAGCAGCCAAAAUGGAUGUCAGUUGUCAUUUUAUAUUUAACACCUGUGCUUUUCCUACUUGGCAUGUACAUACACUCAUGAGCUACAGCUCUUUGGAAAUAUGAGUUAUGAUCAUGCAAGAUUAUCCAAACCGCAUGCAAUUUCAAUUACAAUCUGCAGUAUACCAUAGCAAAGGAAUAACGCACGUUUGCGAGUGCUAUUUAUUGAGAAGAGUUUUGAGCACAAGAAAUCCAAUGCCAUCCAGCUCCAUUGUA